GAAACGACUGCUAAGACUGGAUAGGAGACAAGAAGGCAUCUUCUUGUUUUUAAAAGACCUAGCAAUAGGUAUGCUUAGGGAGGAGCUUGCGUCACAUUAGUUAGUUGGUGGGGUAAAGGCCUACCAAGACUAUGAUGUGUAGCCGGGCUGAGAGGUUGAACGGCCACAUUGGGACUGAGACACGGCCCAAACUCCUACGGGAGGCAGCAGUAGGGAAUUUUCGGCAAUGGAGGAAACUCUGACCGAGCAACGCCGCGUGAACGAUGAAGUAUUUCGGUACGUAAAGUUCUUUUAUUAGGGAAGAAUAAAUGAUGGAAAAAUCAUUCUGACGGUACCUAAUGAAUAAGCCCCGGCUAACUAUGUGCCAGCAGCCGCGGUAAUACAUAGGGGGCAAGCGUUAUCCGGAAUUAUUGGGCGUAAAGGGUGCGUAGGCGGUUAAAUAAGUUUAUGGUCUAAGUGCAAUGCUCAACAUUGUGAUGCUAUAAAAACUGUUUAGCUAGAGUAAGAUAGAGGCAAGUGGAAUUCCAUGUGUAGUGGUAAAAUGCGUAAAUAUAUGGAGGAACACCAGUAGCGAAGGCGGCUUGCUGGGUCUUUACUGACGCUGAGGCACGAAAGCGUGGGGAGCAAACAGGAUUAGAUACCCUGGUAGUCCACGCCGUAAACGAUGAGUACUAAACGUUGGGUAAAACCAGUGUUGAAGUUAACACAUUAAGUACUCCGCCUGAGUAGUACGUACGCAAGUAUGAAACUUAAAGGAAUUGACGGGACUCCGCACAAGCGGUGGAUCAUGUUGUUUAAUUCGAAGGUACCCGAAAAACCUCACCAGGUCUUGACAUGCUUCUGCAAAGCUGUAGAAACACAGUGGAGGUUAUCAGUUGCACAGGUGGUGCAUGGUUGUCGUCAGCUCGUGUCGUGAGAUGUUGGGUUAAGUCCCGCAACGAGCGCAACCCUUAUUGUUAGUUACCAGCACGUAAUGGUGGGGACUUUAGCAAGACUGCCAGUGAUAAAUUGGAGGAAGGUGGGGACGACGUCAAAUCAUCAUGCCCCUUAUGACCUGGGCUACAAACGUGAUACAAUGGCUGUUACAAAGGGUAGCUGAAGCGCAAGUUUUUGGCGAAUCUCAAAAAAACAGUCUCAGUUCGGAUUGAAGUCUGCAACUCGACUUCAUGAAGUUGGAAUCGCUAGUAAUCGCGAAUCAGCAUGUCGCGGCGAAUACGUUCUCGGGGUUUGUACACACCGCCCGUCA
RNAcentral lists this ribosomal RNA (1246 nucleotides) under Candidatus Phytoplasma asteris. RNAcentral's name for it is "bacterial SSU rRNA". It matches the Rfam family "Bacterial small subunit ribosomal RNA", at positions 153 to 1399 of the family's 1533-position model. The record is from RNAcentral. Lineage: Bacteria; Bacillati; Mycoplasmatota; Mollicutes; Acholeplasmatales; Acholeplasmataceae.